Molecule: unclassified non-coding RNA, 2328 nt
Filed under: Leishmania donovani
Lineage: Eukaryota; Euglenozoa; Kinetoplastea; Trypanosomatida; Trypanosomatidae
Description: gene:LdHU3.30.2870(CDS-product:hypothetical_prote in_conserved)
Source: RNAcentral
CGCCACAAAUUGUGGUGGCGUCGCUCACAGAAGUGGCCCCCACCACCACCGCACGCUCGACGUUCGCUUCCCCGCCUAAUCUAUCACCCGUCUGUUGGGCACUCACGCUUUGCUCGUUGUCGCCCAGCAGGGGGCACAUCCGUUCCGGUUCUUCGGUCUCUCUGCCAUCCGUUGCACGCGAAAUAGCCGAAGUAUAGGAAAAAAAAAAUAGCAACACGUCUUCACAAGUGGGUGGGCUCCGCUCACACUUUCUAAUCCACUAUCGUCACAACCCAUCCGCACACGUCACUGUUGUCUUGUCUGCUCCAAAAGCCCGUCGUUGUGCGCUCCCAAGCACCACCUACCAUCAUGUCCGCUCUCUGGGCACGUUUUACGGAGAAGCUGAAGGGCUCCGGCUACACACUCAGUGACCUGGUGUACUGCAGCGAGGACACCUUCCUCACCCUUGUGGCGAAUAUGAACGCCUUUACCCCGCUGCAGAUCGCCUCGCUGGCAAAGGAGUGGCAAAGGAGCCUGUCGGCGGCAGCGACACCGGCAGCCACAAUUAGCGGGAGUGCGCUCCCAUUCUCGAGGCGUCACGCCGAGAGCACGCGGCUCAGCUCCUCACCUGCGCCGUCGUCGGCGCUCAAUCGGGCGACGUUGCCGGCCACCGGUGCAGCAGAGACGUCACCGAAUCACUCCACACUGAGCACAGCAUUGCGGGAGGACUCGUUCGUGCCGCCGCGGCGGUCGCCGGCGAAAGUGAAGGAGGAGGCCGAGUAUCUGCUCACAAAGCUCGGCGCGCAGAGCGGGGCGGAGUACCAGGUGUCGCUGACCGAAGGCAUUGUUGCCGUUGAGGCCUCGCCGGAGGCGUGGGGUCCACUGUUGGACCGCGUCUCGCGCAUGCAUGUGGCAAGCCACCGCGGCAGCGCCGCCGCCCCGCCGGCGACGGAGUUGCAGUUGUUGUGGAAGCUGUGCAGUCCCGCGACGCUGCGCAAGAUGGAAAAGGCGUGCGUGUCGGGCGCGCCUUUUGGGCUGUCGAAUCAAGAUGACGCGGACGAACUGUGCUCGAGUGCUGUGGUUCUGUACGACAAGGAUGCGACCCGGCUCGCCGCGCCGGCGCAGGAGCUCGAGCAACUGUUUCGCGAGGGGUGGGGGCUGGUGGCGUUUGACGUGGCGGUUGGCAAAGCGCGCACGGUGACCAAGGAGGAGGCGCAGGACCUCAACGCAAACCUCUACCGCUUUUCGAUGGGGCAAUGCCUCGAGAUGCUGGAGGAAGCCGGAUUCGACGCCUUCCACAUCCCCUCGCGCAACGCCGUGGCGGUGUGCCACAUGCAUCAGCUGAUGCCCCGCUUCGUCGUCUUCGUCAGCACGCUGGAGCCGGUCGUAGUGACACGCCGCCUGGGUGAUACCGUGCCGGCAGUCGGAAACGGCCGGCCGUCGCGUGCCCCUCCUGCGCCGGCAGCGUCGCCUUCUCCAUCUGCCUCCGCUGCUGCUGCCCUGCCCGCAGCGAGACGAACGAUCAACGGCGGCAAUGACGCCCUCGUCCCGGCGAGCCGGUCGUCGCGGAACAGCGAGGAUCUGCAGUGCGCGGUGCAUUCGAAAAAGACGGUGGAGUUCUGGUCGCCGACGGAGAAGCGCCUGCUCUGCAGUCAUUGUCUGUACUACGACGGGUACUCGCAAGAGAACUGCGUCCCGAUCGAGCAGGCUACGCGCGAGGAGGCGCCACGGUUGGAGCGGUGGGUGCAGAACGCCAUCACCUUUUCGCAGGAGAUCAAGAGUGUCUUUGACCUGUUCGAGGCGGCGCAGACAGACGUGUCGCAGACGCACAAGCAAGUCCGCAGCGACAUCGCGCAUAGCUUCACGCGGCUGCGCGCGCGGCUCGACGCGCUGGAGGCAAACCUGCAGCAGCAGUGCCAGCAAAAGGCGCAACAGAAUCUCCAGGCAUUGCAGGAUACCCUCUCCCGCAUCACUGCGACGGUUCAGUUUGUCAGCGAGGUGGUGCAAGACGCCGACGGGCCGGUCGCUGCCUAUCGCGGCGGCGUCGCGGACACGAGCACCUGCGUCGCGCUACUGCGCAGCGCGCAGCGUGCAUUUGGAGCGUGGGAGCCGGUCACCAUCUCAGCCUACGAAGACGUCCGCAUCGUCGACGGCAGCGCCCUCCUGCAUCCGGUCGAGGAGGCGCUCAAGGCGGUGCAGUCCAUCAGUAGCGAGGCUGGCAAGGUGCAGCUGCCUGAAGCGAUCGACGUUAACUACCUCAAGUCUGACUGCGACGUGUAAGCCUCGUUUAUAGAACUCCCCUGUACCAUGAAUGCCUCCUGUCUCUCUCUCGAGCGCAGCUCACCGACC